This 294-nucleotide long non-coding RNA is filed under the name Coffea arabica (coffee). RNAcentral describes it as "long non-coding RNA (CARA_LNC001001)". Lineage: Eukaryota; Viridiplantae; Streptophyta; Magnoliopsida; Gentianales; Rubiaceae. The record is from RNAcentral.
UGGAGAUAGGAUUAGUCUCUAAUAGAGAUGAUGGAGUAAUAAUGGGUUAUUCUUUAGGUCACAGUGGCAUUGCUCCUAGUAUCCAUAUAGGUGAUGAUGGGCUAGAUUAGCUAUUGCUAGUGGGUUGAGAAAGUUGUAGGCAAGCUUUUAGGUUUUUUAAGUGGGGUUAUAUUUGAUCACGUAGUUUUUAGUGAAAGCCUUUGGGAAGCAAGAUGAUUCUAAGGCUGCAAAUAUUUGUUAAAAUCACUUGAAAUGGAGAUUGAACUAUAAAUAAUUGUUUGCUCGAUUGGCUUG